UACGUAGGGGGCAAGCGUUGUCCGGAAUCAUUGGGCGUAAAGCGCGUGUAGGCGGCUCGGUAAGUCCGCUCUGAAAGUCCAGGGCUCAACCCUGGGAUGCGGGUGGAUACUGCCGGGCUCGAGUCCGGAAGAGGCGAGUGGAAUUCCUGGUGUAGCGGUGAAAUGCGCAGAUAUCAGGAGGAACACCGAUUGCGAAGGCAGCUCGCUGGGACGUUACUGACGCUGAGACGCGAAAGCGUGGGGAGCAAACAGG
RNAcentral lists this ribosomal RNA (253 nucleotides) under uncultured bacterium. RNAcentral describes it as "partial 16S ribosomal RNA". It matches the Rfam family "Bacterial small subunit ribosomal RNA", at positions 524 to 776 of the family's 1533-position model. The record is from RNAcentral.